Molecule: ribosomal RNA, 253 nt
Filed under: uncultured bacterium
Lineage: Bacteria
Description: partial 16S ribosomal RNA
Rfam family: Bacterial small subunit ribosomal RNA
Source: RNAcentral
UACGUAGGGGGCAAGCGUUGUCCGGAAUCAUUGGGCGUAAAGAGCGCGUAGGCGGCCAGAUAAGUCCGGUGUGAAAGUCACAGGCUCAACCUGUGAAUGCCGCUGGAAACUGUCUGGCUAGAGUCCGGAAGGGGCGAGUGGAAUUCCUGGUGUAGCGGUGAAAUGCGCAGAUAUCAGGAGGAACACCGAUGGCGAAGGCAGCUCGCUGGGACGGUACUGACGCUGAGGCGCGAAAGCGUGGGGAGCGAACAGG